GACGAACGCUGGCGGCGUGCUUAACACAUGCAAGUCGAACGGAAAGGCCCUGCUUUUGUGGGGUGCUCGAGUGGCGAACGGGUGAGUAACACGUGAGUAACCUGCCCUUGACUUUGGGAUAACUUCAGGAAACUGGGGCUAAUACCGGAUAGGAGCUCCUGCUGCAUGGUGGGGGUUGGAAAGUUUCGGCGGUUGGGGAUGUACUCGCGGCUUAUCAGCUUGUUGGUGGGGUAGUGGCUUACCAAGGCUUUGACGGGUAGCCGGCCUGAGAGGGUUACCGGCCACAUUGGGACUGAGAGACGGCCCAGAAUCCUACGGGAGGCAGCAGUGGGGAAUAUUGCACAAUGGGCGGAAGCCUGAUGCAGCAACGCCGCGUGCGGGAUGACGGCCUUCGGGUUGUAAACCGCUUUCGCCUGUGACGAAGCGUGCGUGACGGUAAUGGGUAAAGAAGCACCGGCUAACUACGUG
Molecule: ribosomal RNA, 468 nt
Filed under: uncultured bacterium
Lineage: Bacteria
Description: partial 16S ribosomal RNA
Rfam family: Bacterial small subunit ribosomal RNA
Source: RNAcentral